RNAcentral lists this ribosomal RNA (425 nucleotides) under uncultured bacterium. RNAcentral describes it as "partial 16S ribosomal RNA". It matches the Rfam family "Bacterial small subunit ribosomal RNA", at positions 354 to 796 of the family's 1533-position model. The record is from RNAcentral.
GUGGGGAAUCUUGCGCAAUGGGCGAAAGCCUGACGCAGUCAUGCCGCGUGAAUGAUGAAGGUCUUAGGAUUGUAAAAUUCUUUCACCGGGGACUAUAAUGACGGUACCCGGAGAAGAAGCCCCGGCUAACUUCGUGCCAGCAGCCGCGGUAAUACGAAGGGGGCUAGCGUUGCUCGGAAUUACUGGGCGUAAAGGGCGCGUAGGCGGACAGUUUAGUCAGAGGUGAAAGCCCAGGGCUCAACCUUGGAAUUGCCUUUGAUACUGGCUGUCUUGAGUACGGGAGAGGUGAGUGGAACUCCGAGUGUAGAGGUGAAAUUCGUAGAUAUUCGGAAGAACACCAGUGGCGAAGGCGACUCACUGGCCCGUUACUGACGCUGAGGCGCGAAAGCGUGGGGAGCAAACAGGAUUAGAUACCCGAGUAGUCC